This 756-nucleotide ribosomal RNA is filed under the name Escherichia coli. RNAcentral describes it as "partial 23S ribosomal RNA". It matches the Rfam family "Bacterial large subunit ribosomal RNA", at positions 2159 to 2909 of the family's 2925-position model. The record is from RNAcentral. Lineage: Bacteria; Pseudomonadati; Pseudomonadota; Gammaproteobacteria; Enterobacterales; Enterobacteriaceae.
GAAGUGUGGACGCCAGUCUGCAUGGAGCCGGCCUUGAAAUACCACCCUUUAAUGUUUGAUGUUCUAACGUUGGCCCCUGAUCGGGGUUGCGGACAGUGUCUGGUGGGUAGUUUGACUGGGGCGGUCUCCUCCUAAAGAGUAACGGAGGAGCACGAAGGUUGGCUAAUCCUGGUCGGACAUCAGGAGGUUAGUGCAAUGGCAUAAGCCAGCUUGACUGCGAGCGUGACGGCGCGAGCAGGUGCGAAAGCAGGUCAUAGUGAUCCGGUGGUUCUGAAUGGAAGGGCCAUCGCUCAACGGAUAAAAGGUACUCCGGGGAUAACAGGCUGAUACCGCCCAAGAGUUCAUAUCGACGGCGGUGUUUGGCACCUCGAUGUCGGCUCAUCACAUCCUGGGGCUGAAGUAGGUCCCAAGGGUAUGGCUGUUCGCCAUUUAAAGUGGUACGCGAGCUGGGUUUAGAACGUCGUGAGACAGUUCGGUCCCUAUCUGCCGUGGGCGCUGGAGAACUGAGGGGGGCUGCUCCUAGUACGAGAGGACCGGAGUGGACGCAUCACUGGUGUUCGGGUUGUCAUGCCAAUGGCACUGCCCGGUAGCUAAAUGCGGAAGAGAUAAGUGCUGAAAGCAUCUAAGCACGAAACUUGCCCCGAGAUGAGUUCUCCCUGACUCCUUGAGAGUCCUGAAGGAACGUUGAAGACGACGACGUUGAUAGGCCGGGUGUGUAAGCGCAGCGAUGCGUUGAGCUAACCGGUACUAAUGAAC